Molecule: long non-coding RNA, 712 nt
Organism: Rhododendron vialii
Lineage: Eukaryota; Viridiplantae; Streptophyta; Magnoliopsida; Ericales; Ericaceae
Exons: 2
Source: RefSeq, a predicted model, not a curated record
UCUUUCUCUCUCUCUCAUCCCCUCUCUGCUAUUGAGCCAAGGUUAUGGCCGCCAGUCGGACUCCGUUGCCAGGAAUGAGGAACCCAGUUUUUGAGCAUUAGUGAUUUUGAGUCUAAUUUGUGAAAAUUGUUAACCCUCUUUUUUAUCAUCGGAUAAAAAUGCAAUUGACAGGAGAUAAAGGUAAGACCCAUUUGCUUAAAAUUACAAUUGAGAUAGGGAAAAUGAUAGACCCAUUUGGUUAAAAUUGUCGUUGAUUGGAAAACAAGGUAGACCCAUUUGGUUAAAAUUGCAAUUGAAUGGGAAAAAAGGUAGAUCAUUUGGUUAAAAUUGUGAUUGAUGGGGAAAAAGAUAAGCCCAUUUGAUUUGAAUUGUAAUUUGCUGCAAUUGAUAGGGGAAACAAGGUAGCCAUGGUUGCUGUUGAUGGAAGUGUGGUGGUUGAGGGAGUGAAGAGUGGAGAGUACUAAUAUAUAGAUUUUUGUGAUUUGGAAAUGUCCGAAAUGUUGGUGUAAAAGGUAAAUGUAAUUAGAGAAAAAAAAUAUUAUCAUUUAUCAUCAUCAAUUAGCCACCUAAGCAAUUUCCAUCCACUUAUUGACGGAAAGGGUAACAUUGGAACCCGUCAUAAACUGCAAGGGUAAAAUUGAAACAAAAAAUUUUACAAGGACGAAAAUGAAACUGAGACUAAUUUAUAAGGACUAAAUAAGUAGAUAAGCCU